Long non-coding RNA from Dreissena polymorpha, 2822 nucleotides. RefSeq lists it as uncharacterized. The record is from RefSeq and is a predicted model, not a curated record. The transcript is spliced from 3 exons. Lineage: Eukaryota; Metazoa; Mollusca; Bivalvia; Myida; Dreissenidae.
GUAGUCAGUUGUAUGUAGUAGUCAGUUGUAUAUAUGAGUCAGUUGAAUGUAGUAGUCAGUUGUAUGUAGUAGUCAGAUGUAUGUAGUAGCCAGAUGUAUGUAGUAGUCAGUUCUAUGUAGUAGUCAGUUGCAUGUAGUAGUCAGUUGUAUGUAGUAGUCAGUAUUUAUGUAGUAGUCAGUAUUUAUGUAGUAGUCAGUUGUAUGUAGUAGUCAGUUGUAUAGUAGUCAGUUGUAUGUAGUAGUCAGUUGUAUAUAGUAGUCAGUUGUAUGUAGUAGUCAGAUGUAUGUAGUAGUCAGUUGUAUGUAGUAGUCAGUUGUAUGUAGUAGUCAGUUGUAUGUAGUAGUCAGUAUUUAUGAAGUAGUCCGUUGUAUGUAGUAGUCAGUUGUAUGCAGUAGUCUGUUGUAUGCAGUAGUCAGUUGUAUGCAUGAGUCAGUUGUAUGGAGUAGUCAGUUGUAUAGUAGUAGUCAGUUGUGUGCAUGAGUCAGUUGUAUGUAGUAGUCAGUUGUAUGGAGUAGUCAGUUGUAUGUAGUAGUCAGUUGUAUGUAGUAGUCAGUUGUAUAGUAGUCAGUUGUAUGUAGUAGUCAGUUGUAUGUAGUAGUCAGUUGUAUGUAGUAGUCAGUUGUAUGUAGUAGUCAGUUGUAUGCAUGAGUCAGUUGUUUGUAGUAGUCAGUUGUAUGCAUGAGUCAGUUGUAUGUAGUAGUCAGUUGUAUGCAUGAGUCAGUUGUAUGUAGUAGUCAGUUGUAUGUAGUAGUCAGUGUAUAUGUAGUAGUCAGUUGUAUGUAGUAGUCAGUUGUAUGUAGUAGUCAGUUGUAUGUAGUAGUCAGUUGUAUGUAGUAGUCAGUUGCAUGUAGUAGUCAGUUGUAUAGUAGUCAGUUAUAUGCAGUAGUCAGUUGUAUGCAUGAGUCAGUUGUAUGUAGUAGUCAGUUGUAUGUAAUAGUCAGUUGUAUGUAGUAGUCAGUUGUAUGUAGUAGUCAGUUGUAUGCAGCAGUCAGUUGUAUGUAGUAGUCAGUUGUAUGUAAUAGUCAGUUGUAUGUAGUAGUCAGUUGUAUGUAGUAGUCAGUUGUAUGCGGUAGUCAGUUGUAUGCGGUAGUCAGUUGUAUGCAGUAGUCAGUUGUAUGCACUAGUCAGUUGUAUGUAGUAGUCAGUUGUAUGUAGUAGUCAGUUGUAUGCAAUAGUCAGUUGUAUGCAGUAGUCAGUUGUAUGUAGUAGUCAGUUGUAUGCAGUAGUCAGUUGUAUGCAGUAGUCAGUUGUAUAGUAGUAAGUUGUAUGUAGUAGUCAGUUGUAAAGUAGUCAGUUGUAUGACGUACCCUUUUGGUCAAAAGUACAGAUACGCCAACAGCUUAAAAUAGAUAUCACUGCGGUGACAAAAUUGUUACCGCGAUGACAUUUUUGUCACUGCGGUAAUAAAUUUAUCACUGCGGUGAUAUAUUUGUAACUGUUGUGAUACUUUGUUUGACCCAAACAGUUUGAUAGUAGAGCUAAAUCGAACUAACCAAUGAAACAACGUCUUGCAAAACGGCAAAUCGGCGAAUAUUUACUGCGAAGUUUUCAAGAUGUCUGCCUCCUUGGAUACUGUAAACAACUUUUCAGAUCAUGAGUUUGGUAAUUUUAAUCUUCGGACACAAGGAUGACGACAAUUUAGAGUCCAUCAAUGGUUGUGAAAUCAAGGAUAUUCUAUUGGAAGGAAAGACAUGAAUGCAUUCAAGUUUCCUGUGAGCAAUAUGAUUUCCUGACUUUGCCUUACAGUAUAAAACAAGAGAGUUAAACACUUGAAACUUGAAAAGAUGUGGUCCUAGAACCUGAAAUGGCAACUCCAACUCUCUACAAAAGCAUCAUCUGGAAUCCAACUAUGUACAAUCAAAAAAUUAAUGUGUGUCUUAAUUUGGUCUUUUUAGAGCCCUGACGGGUCUUAAGAUAUCAGAUGUUUUAAAAUUUAUUGUGUUUGUGCUGCAAGUUUUAUUAACUGGUUAUAAAGCUUAUGUAUGAAGAACCGUUUACUGCCUGGUUAGUUGCAGUAGAGCACUCAUAGGAAUUGGGAGAUCUGUGGAAUCCCUUUGUGGCUUGCAAAUUUCAACCUGUUUUCAAAAAUUGCUUAGUUGGUCAGUGUGUUAAUAUUUCAAUUUUCAAUAUGUUUUCACUGUUCUCAGUUUUUGAUUUUGUUUCAGUUAGGGAUUCUAAAUGACUUUUAGUUGAACUGACAUUUGCAUUCGUGCUUUCAUCAAAUGGUUCAUUUAACACUCAGAUUUAUUCCAAACUGAUUGGCAAAGUCUUCCUAAGAUCGACAUAACAACUUCCUCCAUUAAACCGUCCCAAACAAUGGCAUCUUACCUCUAUCCACAAAGUCUGACAUGGUCAUGUUUAUUUAUUGUACUAAAUAUGUUUUUUUUUAUGUUUAAGUCCUUAUUUUCAAAAGAAAUUAGCUUUAACUAGCCUUAUCAAACACAAUACCUGUUGCAAAAUUGGCAAACUGUAGAAGACGACAAAUGUAACCCUAAUAAUCAUUUAUGAUUUAAAAUUAUUUCAUUAUUUAAUGCAUAUUACAUUGGGUUUUAUUGUGAAGUGUGUUACUAUUUUAUUAUUUACUAUUUUUACUGUUUUUGUAUUGUUUGUUUUAUUUGUUUGGUAUGUUUAUAUUAAGUGCUGAACUUUGACAUAACCUUUGACCUUUUAUGUUUGCAUAUGAAGGCUUGUCAAAAAAAGUAGUCCGUUUGUUACAUGACGUCAUCAGCAUGUACUUAUUCAUUAUUAAUGUUUGGAAAAUACGUUUUUUUCUGUUUAUGUUUCUGUUUGUGGAUUAAAUGUUAUACCUCUUGGUAUCAAA